Molecule: long non-coding RNA, 1298 nt
Filed under: Amphibalanus amphitrite
Lineage: Eukaryota; Metazoa; Arthropoda; Thecostraca; Balanomorpha; Balanidae
Description: uncharacterized LOC122392478
Source: RNAcentral
GGGCAAACUAGGCGGCGGGAAUCAAAAUAUGGAGGCAUCAAAAUAUUGAUUCUAGUGGGCGGAGCUUUGACCAUAUAUGGGCAUAGAAUCAAUAUUUUGAUUCAAUUUGGGACAUUCCCACCUUCAGACGACCCGUUACGGCGGAAAUAACCCCCAUGACGGCGAGAUUUUUUGACAAGUCAAUACAAAAAACUUCCCCGCUUCAAUUUUUCGCUGCAUGGCUAUCAGCCGUUUGUCGCGCGUACCUUUACGAAUGGCAUAAAGAUUUCGCCGCCAUAAUUCAACAAAAACGUGCUGUUAAAACUUGCUCUGUUUAUCAUUAACGACGAGCCUAUGUAAUUUUUUCAUAAUUUUGUCUAAAAGAAAAUAAAAAAAUGCGUUAUUUAGUUGUAUAAUUCAUUUAUAAGAAAUAUUCUUUUUCUUUGUAUCUAGCCACGAUUUCCGGUUCCCGCCAUUUCGCGCCGGCGUCGUGGGUGUUUAGAUGCAACGUAGUGCUCCCGGUUGUAUUUUGUUUAAGCGACCUUUUCUGAAGUGUCAACCAAGGAUCAAACACUGGUCGUUGCGGGGAUCGGCUUCAGAGGGUCAAGGAUGGCGUCUUGAAUCGCUGUUCAGUCGACAGGCAACUGUAUGACAACGCCAUCCCUGUCAACCAGAGCGUCGACCGAAGUAGGGCGGCGUUCGCGGACCUGGCCGCACCCGACCAACCGGUGGAGUACCUGACUCGGGCUGGGCGGAGACUACCUACAUCACGACCUUUUGAACUUUAAUCUCGUGGCGAGAAACAAUAUGACGUAAGGAAGUGUGUAUGUGGCUGGCGGGGCCGAGGGUGAGAUGCGCCACGUGUUUAUCCUGCCGGAUGACGACAGCGUCACCAACCUGUCAAAGAACGAGCUGGUGCAGCGCGUGAUGACUGCUAUCUCGUCCCUAGGACCCGAGUAGAAAAACGUGCGCAUAGCCCAAAUGAAGCGAACCAAAACACAGACAGGACUGAUAGCUUUUCGGUCGAGAAUGUUCUGAAGAUGCUGAUCAGUAGACCAAUUGGUGACCGUUUUCAGUGGUAAUAUGGGAUCUUGUGGUGUUCCAAAGCGACCUGCUUUGGGUGUGGACAUAAGUGGCUCAACCUGACAGGAUUGAUGUUUUAGGUAGCCGUGCUAAUCAUAAACCCUAUAUUGAGUGUAUCUGUACCGUUUUGAUGUAUUUGAUUCGAAACCGAAAAUUGCUCUUUGUAAUUAGGCAACAUCGAGACGUUGAGGUCAUUCUCCAGACGUUUAUUUGUUUUUUCUUACCUGUCCACGGUA